CAAUAUAAGUGAUGGCGACCGGCGCACGGGUGAGUAACACGUAUCCAACCUGCCGAUAACUCGGGGAUAGCCUUUCGAAAGAAAGAUUAAUACCCGAUGGUAUAAUAAAACCGCAUGGUUUAAUUAUUAAAGAAUUUCGGUUAUCGAUGGGGAUGCGUUCCAUUAGGCAGUUGGUGAGGUAACGGCUCACCAAACCCUCGAUGGAUAGGGGUUCUGAGAGGAAGGUCCCCCACAUUGGAACUGAGACACGGUCCAA
This 256-nucleotide ribosomal RNA is filed under the name uncultured bacterium. RNAcentral's name for it is "partial 16S ribosomal RNA". It matches the Rfam family "Bacterial small subunit ribosomal RNA", at positions 74 to 334 of the family's 1533-position model. The record is from RNAcentral.